Astatotilapia calliptera (eastern happy) is the source of this 262-nucleotide long non-coding RNA. Lineage: Eukaryota; Metazoa; Chordata; Actinopteri; Cichliformes; Cichlidae. The record is from Ensembl.
GCUGCAAGAGGCUCUGGGUUUGCCGUUCAGGCAAUAACAAAAGCCUCCAUCUCAGUCGUUGGCCACCCAGCUGGCCUCCUGAUUGGCUUCACCUCAGGAAAUUGUCCUCCUGACUUACCAGUCUUUCUGUUUGUUUGGACUUGGACUCAUUGUUCUAUUUUUUGGUUCUGUUCUACGUUCCAUCUGUGGUCUGUCCCCACAUUAUCCUGUGUGUGUAUAUUUUGUCUCAUCUUUCCCUUGCCCUUUGUCGCAUUGUCCCUCU